Molecule: ribosomal RNA, 253 nt
Filed under: uncultured bacterium
Lineage: Bacteria
Description: partial 16S ribosomal RNA
Rfam family: Bacterial small subunit ribosomal RNA
Source: RNAcentral
UACAGAGACUGCAAGCGUUAUUCGGAUUCACUGGGCGUAAAGGGUGCGCAGGCGGCCGAGUGUGUGAGGCGUGAAAGCCCGGGGCUUAACCCCGGAAUUGCACCUCAAACUACUUGGCUAGAGCAUUGGAGAGGGUAGCAGAAUUCAUGGUGUAGCAGUGAAAUGCGUAGAUAUCAUGAGGAAUACCAGAGGCGAAGGCGGCUACCUGGACAAUUGCUGACGCUCAGGCACGAAAGCGUGGGGAGCAAAAGGG